CGGGAUGUAGUAUAGUGGUAGUACGCGGGCUUCGGGAGUCCGUAGCGGCAGUUCAAUUCUGCCCAUCCCGACAA
RNAcentral lists this transfer RNA (74 nucleotides) under Candidatus Lloydbacteria bacterium RIFCSPHIGHO2_02_FULL_51_22. RNAcentral's name for it is "tRNA-Pro". It matches the Rfam family "tRNA". From Rfam's summary of the family: Transfer RNA (tRNA) molecules are approximately 80 nucleotides in length. Their secondary structure includes four short double-helical elements and three loops (D, anti-codon, and T loops). The record is from RNAcentral. Lineage: Bacteria; Candidatus Lloydiibacteriota. RNAcentral also lists the same sequence under 1 other name.